AGUUUAGGAAAAAGAAACAAMAGKRAUUGCCNNAGUAACGGCGAGUGAAGCGGCAACAGCUCAAAUUUGAAAUCUGGCCCUUGGGUCCGAAUUGUAAUUUGCAGAGGAUGCUUUUGGCGCGGCGCCUUCCGAGUUUCCUGGAACGGAACGCCAUAGAGGGUGAGAGCCCCGUCCGGUUGGAUGCCUAGCCUAUGUAAAGCUCCUUCGACGAGUCGAGUAGUUUGGGAAUGCUGCUCUAAAUGGGAGGUACAUGUCUUCUAAAGCUAAAUACCGGCCAGAGACCGAUAGCGCACAAGUAGAGUGAUCGAAAGAUGAAAAGCACUUUGAAAAGAGGGUUAAACAGUACGUGAAAUUGUUGAAAGGGAAGCGUUUGUGACCAGACUUGGGCCCGGUUAAUCAUCCAGCGUUCUCGCUGGUGCACUUGGCCGGCCCAGGCCAGCAUCAGUUCGUCGCGGGGGAUAAAGACUUUGGGAACGUGGCUCCUCCGGGAGUGUUAUAGCCCAUUGUGCAAUACCCUGCGGUGGACUGAGGUUCGCGCAUCNGCAAGGANGCUNNCGUAAUSGWCAUCAACGACCCGUCUUGAAA
This 585-nucleotide ribosomal RNA is filed under the name uncultured fungus. RNAcentral describes it as "eukaryotic LSU rRNA". It matches the Rfam family "Eukaryotic large subunit ribosomal RNA", at positions 49 to 659 of the family's 3401-position model. Lineage: Eukaryota; Fungi. The record is from RNAcentral.